Molecule: long non-coding RNA, 2517 nt
Organism: Oenanthe melanoleuca
Lineage: Eukaryota; Metazoa; Chordata; Aves; Passeriformes; Muscicapidae
Exons: 3
Source: RefSeq, a predicted model, not a curated record
ACAGGUUGUGCCAAGCAGUCACAUACAACUCAGUAAUUCUCUGACUAUGAGAGCACACACUCAUGACAGUUUUCAGUGGCUCCCUUUUUUGCUUGUAAGUCUUCCUCUUAACACUUGAAAUCCGCUUAACAAAAAAAUGGCAAAACAAUCUGAGAGUUGUAUUCAGGUAAGAAAUUUUCUCCAAAACAUCUGAAAAGUGGAAGAGAUAGAAUAAUUGACAUGACUGAAACAGGUACUAUUAGAAUAUCCCAUUCCUCUGUUGAGGCCAAAUUACAGUUAUCAAAAUAGAAAGAUUUUGUACUAGUAAUUAAAAACCUCACAAUAUCUAAUGCAGAGAAACUAAGUAGUCACUACACUACUAAAUUACCUCUAUCCCUAACCUGUUUCCUUUUUCUCCUUCAAGGAACAUGCACAACCAUAAAAGAGCUACUGUGCCUUUUUUCAAAUCUACUACUCUUCUUUUAACAAUCUCUUAUGUGCACCAUUUAAGCUGGAAGAAGAGAUGGGAAAUGAGGAUAACAAGCUCAGAAUAUCAACCUUCGUGAAGCUGGCAUAUUCUUCAGAGAGGAUGGAAUAACCUGUAACCUCAAAACUGUUCAAGACUAAAGGAGCAAAGUUCAAUACAAAAUUUUUAAUCAGCUGAAAUUUUCAACUCCAUCACUUCAGAAAAUCAUUUCUGGAACCACAGAGAAAACCUCCUGGAUCAAGAAACACAUUGCUGAUACUAUUUUUUAACCUAUGACAGCAUGAACCACAGAAAUCACUUCCUUAUAUUAAGGGUCAUGAAGAAUGUGCUUGGUUGAGCACCUGCACUGAAGCACUAUUUUUUUUUUCCCCUCAGUAAACCUACUACUAUUUCUUUGUUGUUCCAGCAUAUAAAAAUAUGUAUAUACUGCUAAGUUCUGCCAUAAAGCUCAAGAAUGCCAAAGUUUAAAAGAAAAUGAAAACAAUUCAAACAACAAUGUGCUGAUAUCUGCAAGGAAAUAACCAGCCAUAAUCUUACCAGUAUUAAGAUGGAAACAAAAACUGAGGAGGAAGCAUCUUUCUAAUAAUGUGGAACUUGCUGAGAGGAAUUGUGUAUUUCAAAUACUUUUAAACAGAAUGAAUAAAUAAAUAGAAUUUAAACUCCCCUAUUUUUCAGAGAUCACAAAUGCAUCCUGAGCUCAGAAAGGUAAAACAGGAGAAAAACAAAUAUCUCGUAUCAGAUUGUUCUACUGCACAUAUAAAAGCAGAAUCAUAUAACCAAAGUGUGUAUUAUGAACAGAUGGGUAUGACAGGUUUGAAAGGAAAUAGUGAUACACCCAUUUGGGCACACAAGGUCUUUUGUUUUCUCAUGCAGAAAUCACAAAGAGGUUUUAUGCUUUAUUUCUUUGCUGAAACAUCUAACUAACCACGUGCAAGUCUGACUGACUCCUUAGCAGUGUGACAUCUGUUCUGCUCCCUAUGAACUUAAAAAGUUUAUAAAUAUGCACCUAUUUAAUCCUACAUCUGAGACUAUUUUAUAUAUUAUAUCUUUAUACAUAUGAAUACAUAAUGAGUUACAAGUAGGUAUCUACUUAAAUCAAGAUAUAAGAAUGAUAUUUAUUUUCAUACAUAAUUGACAGCUUUGGGCCCCUUCAACUGAAGGCCAACUGUAGUCACCUUAUAAGGGUCAGAAUUUGAGACUAAGCCUCAUUACCUUUUGGAAAUAUCAGAUCUUGUAUUGUUUGGAACAUAUAAUGUUCCAUAAGAUUGGCAAAUUUCCAUAUGGCCCAUAUGUUGCCAUAUAUGUAUAAGACAAAACCACAUCCACGUUCAGUUAGUUUCAGGGCUGAGGCCAAAAUCAAUAUUUAGGUAGGUACUGAUUACAGGUAAUUUUGCUUAAUAGGCUCUUACUUCAGGUAAAACCAACAGAGGUUUUAUCUUACUCUUCCUUGAAUUUUGCCUUUCAUUUGAGUUGUUUCCCUAUUCCAACCUACAAGUGUGCAAACUCUCUGAAUUUCUUAAUUUCAUUUUCUGGAACAUGGCCCAAUACAGUAAAUAAAGCAAGUAUUAGUUAUUCUCUCCUUCCACAGUCAUGCCACAUAGGCAAAAGUGAAGUGUCUGCAGCUUUAAAUAUUGUGGGAUCUAACUUGUAAAAGACUAAAAGUAGAAAAAUUGAGCUAACUGUAAGAAGUGAGCCUGUAAUUAUUCCUUUCACAGAUAAUGUAUUUUGAUCUUGGAAGAAAACAUUUUUCCUCCUUGUCUCCUUCAUUAUUUCUUAAAUGAAGCAAAGAGGAGAAAAGGUUUACCCCAUUCUCAAUGCAAUGACUUUUCCAUUUUUUAUUUUGUCAUAUGAACAUGAGGAUAUACAGGUUUUAGUAUUAUUUUAGUAGCAUAUUUGAAGCCCAGAAUGCAUUUUUCUUUGUCUUUUCCUUUAAUAAAAUACAUUAUAAUGCCAAGAACCAUUCUUGCUACAUAAUUUUAUGGACCCCAGAGAAAAAAGCUUGAGACUUAGUAAGUUGCACCUGUAUUUUUCAUUACCCUUUGAACUUUUAG